GAUAAAGAACGUAGCGAAAUGCGAUAAGUAAUGUGAAUUGCAGAAUUCAGUGAAUCAUCGAAUCUUUGAACGCACAUUGCGCCCGCCAGUAUUCUGGCGGGCAUGCCUGUCUGAGCGUCAUUUCAACCCUCAUGCCCCUAGGGCGUGGUGUUGGGGAUCGGCCAAAGCCCGCGAGGGACGGCCGGCCCCUAAAUCUAGUGGCGGACCCGUCGUGGCCUCCUCUGCGAAGUAGUGAUAUUCCGCAUCGGAGAGCGACGAGCCCCUGCCGUUAAACCCCCAACUUUCCAAGGUUGACCUCAGAUCAGGUAGGAAUACCCGCUGAACUUAAGCAUAUCAAUAAGCGGAGGA
RNAcentral lists this unclassified non-coding RNA (348 nucleotides) under soil metagenome. Its description in RNAcentral is "partial contains 5.8S ribosomal RNA, internal transcribed spacer 2, and large subunit ribosomal RNA". The stretch from base 1 to 120 matches the Rfam family "5.8S ribosomal RNA", at positions 35 to 154 of the family's 154-position model. The record is from RNAcentral.